Molecule: ribosomal RNA, 486 nt
Filed under: uncultured bacterium
Lineage: Bacteria
Description: partial 16S ribosomal RNA
Rfam family: Bacterial small subunit ribosomal RNA
Source: RNAcentral
GAUGAACGCUGGCGGCGUGCCUAAUACAUGCAAGUCGAACGCUGGGACUCUACCUUGCUAGAUUGAUCGAGUGGCGAACGGGUGAGUAAUACAUAAGCAACCUACCCAUGAAGACUGGGAUACUUCCUGGAAACGGGGACAAUUACCGGUUAGAUAAUCGGCAGCCUUCUUCGGGUUAUUAAAUGUCGACAGCACUGGUUGGUGGGCCUAUGGAGCAGUUGUUAGUUGGUGAGGUGACUGCCCACGAAGUCGAGGAUUCGUAGGCCGCCUGAGAGGGUGAACGGUGACAGUGGGACUGGGACAAGGCCCAGACUCCUACGGGAGGCAGCAGUAGGGAAUGUUCGGCAAUGGAGGAAACCCUGACCGAGCAACGCCGCGUGAGUGAUGACGGCCUUCGGGUUGUAAAGCUCUGUUGUAAGGGAAGAACGGUAGAUAGAGAAUAUCUAAAUGACGGUACCGUACCAGAAAGCCACGGCUAACUACGUG